This 254-nucleotide ribosomal RNA is filed under the name uncultured bacterium. RNAcentral's name for it is "partial 16S ribosomal RNA". It matches the Rfam family "Bacterial small subunit ribosomal RNA", at positions 524 to 776 of the family's 1533-position model. The record is from RNAcentral.
UACAGAGGGUGCGAGCGUUGUUCGGAAUUACUGGGCGUAAAGCGCGCGCAGGCGGCCUUUUAAGUCUCGUGGUGAGAUGCCGGGGCUCAACCCCGUGCCCGCCGGAGAUACUGGGAGGCUGGAGACAUGUAGAGGCAAGCGGAAUUCCGGGUGUAGCGGUGGAAUGCGUAGAUAUCAGGAAGAACACCGGUGGCGAAGGCGGCUUGCUGGGCCAUCACUGACGCUGAGACACGAAAGCGUGGGGAGCAAACGGG